GAUGAACGCUAGCGGCAGGCCUAAUACAUGCAAGCCGGACGGCAAGUUGAGUAGCAAUACUUGACCUAGAGUGGCGUAAGGGUGCGUAACACGUAUGCAAUCUGCCCACAGCCGGGAGAUAGCCCUCCGAAAGGAGGAUUAAUAUCCCAUAGGAAGAUGAGAUGGCAUCAUUUUAUUUUUAAACUACGGGGCUGUGGAUGAGCAUGCGGUUGAUUAGCUAGUUGGCGGGGUAAAGGCCCACCAAGGCGAUGAUCAAUAGGGGACCUGAGAGGGUGAUCCCCCA
Molecule: ribosomal RNA, 283 nt
Filed under: uncultured bacterium
Lineage: Bacteria
Description: partial 16S ribosomal RNA
Rfam family: Bacterial small subunit ribosomal RNA
Source: RNAcentral